This 719-nucleotide ribosomal RNA is filed under the name Escherichia coli. RNAcentral describes it as "partial 23S ribosomal RNA". It matches the Rfam family "Bacterial large subunit ribosomal RNA", at positions 165 to 925 of the family's 2925-position model. Lineage: Bacteria; Pseudomonadati; Pseudomonadota; Gammaproteobacteria; Enterobacterales; Enterobacteriaceae. The record is from RNAcentral.
CAUAGGUUAAUGAGGCGAACCGGGGGAACUGAAACAUCUAAGUACCCCGAGGAAAAGAAAUCAACCGAGAUUCCCCCAGUAGCGGCGAGCGAACGGGGAGCAGCCCAGAGCCUGAAUCAGUGUGUGUGUUAGUGGAAGCGUCUGGAAAGGCGCGCGAUACAGGGUGACAGCCCCGUACACAAAAAUGCACAUGCUGUGAGCUCGAUGAGUAGGGCGGGACACGUGGUAUCCUGUCUGAAUAUGGGGGGACCAUCCUCCAAGGCUAAAUACUCCUGACUGACCGAUAGUGAACCAGUACCGUGAGGGAAAGGCGAAAAGAACCCCGGCGAGGGGAGUGAAAAAGAACCUGAAACCGUGUACGUACAAGCAGUGGGAGCACGCUUAGGCGUGUGACUGCGUACCUUUUGUAUAAUGGGUCAGCGACUUAUAUUCUGUAGCAAGGUUAACCGAAUAGGGGAGCCGAAGGGAAACCGAGUCUUAACUGGGCGUUAAGUUGCAGGGUAUAGACCCGAAACCCGGUGAUCUAGCCAUGGGCAGGUUGAAGGUUGGGUAACACUAACUGGAGGACCGAACCGACUAAUGUUGAAAAAUUAGCGGAUGACUUGUGGCUGGGGGUGAAAGGCCAAUCAAACCGGGAGAUAGCUGGUUCUCCCCGAAAGCUAUUUAGGUAGCGCCUCGUGAAUUCAUCUCCGGGGGUAGAGCACUGUUUCGGCAAGGGG